AUGCUUCUUGUGAAUUAUUUGCCCUAGAUCUAUGCUCUGAAUGUCUUCUACUUCAAAUUACAGGAGCUGUCCUCCUUCCUGGACGUUAGCUUAUGAGGUGGGGAAAUUCUUAAAGAUACAACAAACAACAGGCAAAACUCCUGUGAACUUCGGUGAGAGAAUUAAGUCCUGUUUGCUAGCUUCCCCAGUGUAAAUGCUCUCAGCAAAAGGAAGAAACAUGCAAAUUUCAGUCAGAGCAUCCUACCCAAGAUCUGCCUCCAGCCACAGGAUUUUUGCAUCACAGGACCUGAUUUGCAUACUAUCUUCUUUGGAAUACCAGACAACCCCAAGACAUUUUUGGAAACAAAAGUGUGAAGGUCAUCCUGGACUGGAUUUCCCAGGAUCAAGCUAUCUGAAGAACUAUUGGUGCUAUAUAAUUCCCCAGAUUCAACAUGUUCUGUUUAGCUGCUGACAAAGUUAUCUUUUCCUCUCUUUCCGGUGAGAUUGAGAUGCUUUAUAGUACAAUAUAGACCUUGUAGUGCAAAAUUCAAAGAAUCUUUAAAUAAGUCUAUUUUACUAGGACAUCCCCCCAAAUGCAAGUGCAAAUACAGCAUAUUAGGCAAAUUAGGGACAAGAAUGAUUCUCAGGGAAAUGAUCAUACAAUGUCUUGUCUACAAUACCAGGGAUUCUGGUCCUCUUGUCCUAAGACAUGGUAUAUAGGACUAGAACAACAAAAGCGGCUUUGAUUCAGCACUGCUUCUGGGUUUUGCUGCUGCAGGACAAGUGUGCCUUCACAAGUGCACUCAUGUUAUUCCACAGUUCAUCAAGAGGUACAUGACAUCUGCAGCAAGUACUGCUGUGGUAAUUCAGCAGGUGAUCAGAGAUUAAGACAAACCCAUCUUUUUAGAGCAGGACGCUCUGGUAUUUCACAGAGAAUAAGAUAAGAACAGGGUAGAGGCCAGGCUUGGAUGUACAGGGAUGUUCUAAAUAGCAGCAGGGAACCCUGGUAUGAACUUCUGGAAUGUAGUGUUCUGGUAAAAUAAAAUUAUUGCCAGCAGAUUCA
Molecule: long non-coding RNA, 1042 nt
Filed under: Anser brachyrhynchus (Pink-footed goose)
Lineage: Eukaryota; Metazoa; Chordata; Aves; Anseriformes; Anatidae
Description: lncRNA (ENSABRG00000019194.1)
Source: RNAcentral